RNAcentral lists this non-coding RNA (53 nucleotides) under unclassified sequences. RNAcentral's name for it is "Mu-gpT-DE RNA". It matches the Rfam family "Mu-gpT-DE RNA". The record is from Rfam by way of RNAcentral.
CCCUGACAGUCGCAUGGUGCGGCUGACUUUAGCCACGACAGGAGAUUCAAAUG